GAACCCCCGAAGGCCGAAACCACCAGACAGACAGAUCUCUCUAUCUCUCUCUCUCUGCUUUUAUAAUAGUCAUAGUUUUCGUCUACAAGUCAAAACCAGCGCUAGCCUCAUAAAACCAGCUCGGAUAAUCGUAAAGAAGUCGUAUUUACUGCUUUUGCCACUCCGGCUACGCACAGCCACCUAAUUUCUUGAGACAUAUAUACAUCACAUUCAUAUUUCUCGGAGAUAGGAAGAGAGGGAGAGAGCGAUCGGUCAGAUUGUUGAGAUUUCUUUUCUUCGGAGGAAUUGACUGAAAAAUGGCGCAGAAUAAUUUUCUAGUCGAGGUAGAGAAGGGCAAGGAGGCCAACGAUAGGAGGCCGUCGAUGGGGCCGGUUUACCGCAGCGUUUUCGCCAAGGAUGGAUUUCCUCUUCCGAUUGAUGGAAUGGAUAGUUGCUGGGAUGUUUUCCGCAUGACUGUUGAGAGAUAUCCAGAAAAUCGGAUGCUUGGUCGUCGUGAAAUUUUGAAUGGAAAGCCCGGUAAUUACGUGUGGCAAACGUAUAAAGAAGUAUAUGACUUAGUAAUUAAAGUUGGAAAUGCAAUGCGAAGUUGUGGUUUUGGGGAAGGAGCAAAAUGUGGUAUUUAUGGUGUCAAUUGUCCAGAGUGGAUUAUAAGCAUGGAGGCCUGCAACGCUCAUGGGCUAUAUUGUGUCCCUUUAUAUGACACUCUAGGUGCUGGGGCCGUAGAAUUUGUUAUAUGCCAUGCAGAGGUUUCUAUUGCUUUUUCUGAAGAGAAAAAGAUUUCUGAGGUGUUGAAAACCUUUCCUAACACAACAGAGUACCUCAAAACACUUGUGAGCUUUGGCAAGGUUACACCUGAACAAAGAGAGGAAGUUGAGAAGUUUGGGUUGGCAAUAUAUUCGUGGGAUGAAUUUUUGCAACUGGGUGAUGGUAAGCAGUUUGAUCUUCCAGUGAAGAAGAAAAGUGACGUGUGUACUAUAAUGUAUACUAGUGGAACUACUGGUGAUCCUAAGGGUGUAAUGAUAUCCAAUGAAAGCAUCAUUGCUCUUUUAGCUGGGGUGAAGCGCCUGCUAGAGAGUGUCAAUGAAAAAUUGGAUGAGAAUGACGUAUAUCUGUCAUAUCUUCCUCUUGCGCAUAUCUUUGAUCGGGUGAUUGAGGAGCUAUUUAUUUUAACUGGUGCCUCGAUUGGAUUCUGGCGUGGGGAUGUCAAACUUUUGAUUGAAGACAUUGGGGAGCUAAAGCCAACUAUUUUCUGUGCCGUCCCACGUGUGUUAGAUAGAAUUUACUCGGGUUUAAAUCAGAAGGUUUCCUCUGGGGGCUUCUUGAAGAAGACAGUUUUCAAUUUUGCCUAUGCACAUAAGUUUCGUAACAUGAAGAAGGGAAGCAAACAUGAACAGGCAUCUCCAAUUUUUGACAAAUUUGUCUUUAGCCAGGUGAAGCAAGGGCUUGGAGGUAAGGUACGCCUUAUUCUUUCUGGAGCAGCACCUCUUUCCACUCAUGUAGAAACUUUCCUACGAGUGGUGGCAUGUGCUCAUGUUAUACAAGGAUAUGGUCUGACGGAAACUUGUGCUGGGACAUUUGUCUCACUGCCAAAUGAACUGUCUAUGCUUGGUACAGUGGGCCCUCCAGUACCCAACGUGGAUGUGUGCCUAGAGUCUGUUCCCGAAAUGGGAUAUGAUGCCCUUUCAAACACACCACGAGGAGAAGUAUGUGUAAAAGGAAAAACAUUGUUUUCAGGGUACUAUAAACGUGAAGACCUCACCAAAGAGGUCAUGGUUGAUGGGUGGUUCCAUACAGGGGAUAUUGGUGAGUGGCAACCAGAUGGAAGCUUGAAAAUCAUUGACCGCAAGAAGAAUAUAUUCAAGCUUUCCCAAGGAGAAUAUGUUGCCGUUGAAAACUUGGAGAACAUUUAUGGUCUUGUCACAGCUAUAGAUUCGAUAUGGGUCUAUGGAAACAGCUUUGAGUCCUUCCUUGUGGCUGUUGUGAACCCCAACAAGGAAGCACUUGAGCGUUGGGCUGAAGAAAAUGGUGUCAAUGGGGAUUUCAAUUCUGUCUGUGAAAGUCCCAGGGCAAAAGAAUACAUUCUUGGGGAGCUUGCGAAGAUUUCUAAAGAAAAAAAGUUGAAAGGUUUUGAGUUUAUUAAAGCUGUUCACCUUGAUCCUGAGCCAUUUGACAUGGAACGUGACCUUAUCACUCCAACCUAUAAGAAGAAGAGGCCCCAGUUGCUUAAAUAUUAUCAGGUCUUUACUCGUCUCUCUCUCUCUCUCUCUCUCUCUCUCUCUCUCUCUCUCUGUGCGACGUGCUUUGUGUGAACUUCCCAAUCACUAACGGAGUAUUUUUUUAACCGGCUAAAUCCUGUUACGAUGAUCCAGUCUCAAUUAAAGUAGCAGACAUGGCUUACAAUAAUGUUGUGGUCAUAGGCUGAGCUGUAUGUCAUAGAUGUAGCCCUUGUAACAAAUUCAUGAUUCAAGGUGUUGAUGUGGUGAUGACCUCACCCACCUAUAUGUGGGUCCUUUGACUUAUUCAAUGUAGUGAGUUGAAAGGUGAAGGCUGAAAAUUAUUUUCAUUCUUGCGUGGGCUGUCCAAUCAGAAGGUUGGAAGUUUGGUUACAUUUACGAUAGCUAUCAAGCAAGAAGUCAGCAUGAUGCCUCUAGAAACCAAAUAUUAGAAUUUCUAUUCAUUAUCUUUUCCCACUUGGUUGUGGUCCUUUUGACUCAUUCCUGCCAAUAUACCCAAAGUCUUGGCAGUAUUAAAGUUUCCUGCUGAUUUUCUGUUUAGUUGUUUUAAGCCUAUGCAUUAUUUCUUCAAUCAAUAUAUUGUAUGCCAAGUCACAGUAAAGGAGGGAUCAUUGAUGAGAUUGUUCGUUUAUAUUUGAUAAUAAAAGAAAAAUCCUUGGUGGUGAAGCUACUGACAUGAUCUCUUUGUUGCACAGAAUAUCAUCGACAACA
Molecule: RNA transcript, 2945 nt
Organism: Juglans microcarpa x Juglans regia
Lineage: Eukaryota; Viridiplantae; Streptophyta; Magnoliopsida; Fagales; Juglandaceae
Gene name: long chain acyl-CoA synthetase 4-like
Exons: 19
Source: RefSeq, a predicted model, not a curated record